UAGGGAAUCUUCGGCAAUGGGGGGAACCCUGACCGAGCAACGCCGCGUGAGUGAAGAAGGUUUUCGGAUCGUAAAGCCCUGUUGUUAAGGAAGAACGAGUGUGAGAAUGGAAAGUUCAUGCUGUGACGGUACUUAACCAGAAAGGGACGGCUAACUACGUGCCAGCAGCCGCGGUAAUACGUAGGUCCCGAGCGUUGUCCGGAUUUAUUGGGCGUAAAGCGAGCGCAGGCGGUUAGAAAAGUCUGAAGUGAAAGGCAGUGGCUCAACCAUUGUAGGCUUUGGAAACUGUUUAACUUGAGUGCAGAAGGGGAGAGUGGAAUUCCAUGUGUAGCGGUGAAAUGCGUGGAUAUAUGGAGGAACACCGGUGGCGAAAGCGGCUCUCUGGUCUGUAACUAACGCUGAGGCUCGAAAGCGUGGGGAGCGAACAGG
RNAcentral lists this ribosomal RNA (429 nucleotides) under Bacteroidota bacterium. Its description in RNAcentral is "Bacteroidetes bacterium partial 16S ribosomal RNA". It matches the Rfam family "Bacterial small subunit ribosomal RNA", at positions 355 to 776 of the family's 1533-position model. Lineage: Bacteria; Pseudomonadati; Bacteroidota. The record is from RNAcentral.